RNAcentral lists this ribosomal RNA (460 nucleotides) under uncultured bacterium. Its description in RNAcentral is "partial 16S ribosomal RNA". It matches the Rfam family "Bacterial small subunit ribosomal RNA", at positions 338 to 795 of the family's 1533-position model. The record is from RNAcentral.
CCUACGGGAGUCAGCAGUGAGGAAUAUUGGUCAAUGGACGAGAGUCUGAACCAGCCAAGUAGCGUGAAGUAUGACUGCCCUAUGGGCUGUACACUUCUUUUAUAAAGGAAUAAAACGAGGCACGUGUGCCUUUUUGCAUUUACUUUAUGUAUAAGUAUCGGCUAACUCCGUGCCAGCAGCCGAGGUAAUACGGAGGAUCCGAGCGUUAUACGGAUUUAUUGGGUUUAAAGGGAGCGUAGAUGGGUUGUUAUGUCAGUUGUGAAAGUUUGCGGCGCAACCGUAAAAUUGCAAUUGAUACUGGCAGUCUUGAGUACAGUUGAGGUAGGCGGAAUUCGUGGUGUAGCGGUGAAAUGCUUAGAUAUCACGAAGAACCCCGAUUGCGAAGGCAGCUUACUAAACUGUGACUGACAUUGAUGCUCGAAAGUGUGGGUAUCAAACAGGAUUAGAUACCCCAGUAGUC